This 254-nucleotide ribosomal RNA is filed under the name uncultured bacterium. RNAcentral's name for it is "partial 16S ribosomal RNA". It matches the Rfam family "Bacterial small subunit ribosomal RNA", at positions 524 to 776 of the family's 1533-position model. The record is from RNAcentral.
UACGUAGGGCGCAAGCGUUGUCCGGAAUUAUUGGGCGUAAAGAGCUCGUAGGCGGUUCGGUAAGUCGGGUGUGAAACCUCCAGGCUCAACCUGGAGAGGCCACCUGAUACUGCUGUGACUCGAGUCCGGUAGGGGAGCGUGGAAUUCCUGGUGUAGCGGUGAAAUGCGCAGAUAUCAGGAGGAACACCAGCGGCGAAGGCGGCGCUCUGGGCCGGAACUGACGCUGAGGAGCGAAAGCGUGGGUAGCAAACAGG